GAUUAGCUCAGUUGGUAGAGCAUGAGACUCUUAAUCUCAGGGUUGUGGGUUCGAGCCCCAUGUUGGGCA
Molecule: transfer RNA, 69 nt
Filed under: Podarcis lilfordi (Lilford's wall lizard)
Lineage: Eukaryota; Metazoa; Chordata; Lepidosauria; Squamata; Lacertidae
Description: tRNA.Lys
Rfam family: tRNA
About the family: Transfer RNA (tRNA) molecules are approximately 80 nucleotides in length. Their secondary structure includes four short double-helical elements and three loops (D, anti-codon, and T loops).
Source: RNAcentral